Molecule: ribosomal RNA, 763 nt
Filed under: uncultured bacterium
Lineage: Bacteria
Description: bacterial SSU rRNA
Rfam family: Bacterial small subunit ribosomal RNA
Source: RNAcentral
AGAGUUUGAUCCUGGCUCAGGAUGAACGCUAGCGGCAGGCCUAAUACAUGCAAGUCGAACGGGCAGUAGCGAUACUGUUAGUGGCGCACGGGUGCGUAACGCGUAACCAACCUACCCGGAACUGGGGGAUAGCCCGCCGAAAGGCGGAUUAAUACCGCAUAAGCUCUUCGCCUGGCAUCAGGCGAUUAGUAAAGAUUCAUUGGUUUUGGAUGGGGUUGCGUGCCAUUAGCUGGUUGGGGGGGUAACGGCCCACCAAGGCGACGAUGGCUAGGGGAGCUGAGAGGCUGGUCCCCCACACGGGCACUGAGACACGGGCCCGACUCCUACGGGAGGCAGCAGUAGGGAAUAUUGGGCAAUGGCCGAGAGGCUGACCCAGCCAUGCCGCGUGCAGGACGAAGGCUUUCUGAGUCGUAAACUGCUUUUACCAGGGAAGAAUAAAGGCUGUGCGCAGUUCGACGACGGUACCUGGGGAAUAAGCACCGGCUAACUCCGUGCCAGCAGCCGCGGUAAUACGGAGGGUGCGAGCGUAGUCCAGAUAUAUGGGGUUUAAAGGGUGCGUAGGCAGCCCGCUAAGUCUGGGGUGAAAGCGCGCUGCUCAACAGCGGAACUGCCCCGGAUACUGGCGGGGCUUGAGGACAGGCAAGGUUGGCGGAGUGGAGGGUGUAACCGUGAAAUGCCUANAUACCCUCUAAAUCCCCCAUGGCAAAGGCACUGACUAGGCGGUACCUGACGCUAUGCCCUAAGCGUGGGACGACUGGAUUAA